Molecule: transfer RNA, 74 nt
Filed under: Candidatus Nealsoniibacteriota bacterium
Lineage: Bacteria; Candidatus Nealsoniibacteriota
Description: Candidatus Nealsonbacteria bacterium tRNA-Ala
Rfam family: tRNA
About the family: Transfer RNA (tRNA) molecules are approximately 80 nucleotides in length. Their secondary structure includes four short double-helical elements and three loops (D, anti-codon, and T loops). Further hydrogen bonds mediate the characteristic L-shaped molecular structure. tRNAs have two regions of fundamental functional importance: the anti-codon, which is responsible for specific mRNA codon recognition, and the 3' end, to which the tRNAs corresponding amino acid is attached (by aminoacyl-tRNA synthetases). tRNAs cope with the degeneracy of the genetic code in two manners: having more than one tRNA (with a specific anti-codon) for a particular amino acid; and 'wobble' base-pairing, i.e. permitting non-standard base-pairing at the 3rd anti-codon position.
Source: RNAcentral
GGGCCCAUAGUCUAGUGGUAAAACACGUCCUCGGCAUGGACGAGUCGGGAGUUCGACUCUCCCUGGGUCCACUA